GAUUCUGGGAAUGACGUCACACCUGAGUUGAAUGCAUUCCAUUUCAAGUUGUAUUUACAUAGUUUUUAUUAGCUCUAGCCAGGUUAGCCAUUGUUAGGAAUGCCAGUUUAUAACAACGCAUUACGUUGUUUUCGUGCAUGCGAACAGACUG
Etheostoma cragini (Arkansas darter) is the source of this 151-nucleotide long non-coding RNA. RefSeq lists it as uncharacterized. Lineage: Eukaryota; Metazoa; Chordata; Actinopteri; Perciformes; Percidae. The transcript has 3 exons. The record is from RefSeq and is a predicted model, not a curated record.